Small nuclear RNA from Dermacentor silvarum, 187 nucleotides. RefSeq annotates it as U2 spliceosomal RNA. The record is from RefSeq and is a predicted model, not a curated record. The transcript has a single exon. NCBI's taxonomy places the organism in Eukaryota, Metazoa, Arthropoda, Arachnida, Ixodida, Ixodidae.
AUGUAGACGUGGGCGACGCGGGAGAAAAUGUAGUAUCUGUUCUUAUCAGGUUAAUUUAUGAUAGGGGUUGUAUUGAGACCCAAGAUAUAAACUUAUUUUUGCAAUUUGGCGGAGGGCUUGAAGCCUGCCUCAUCUCCGCGGCGCGUUGGCCCAGUAGUGCGCUAUCUUCGGCAACGGCCCACGUUUU